UUUGCAGGCGGCAGCUACCAUGCAGUCGAGCGGUAACAAAUAGUAGCUUGCUACUCUGGCGUCGAGCGGCGGACGGGUGAGUAAUGCUUGGGAACAUGCCUUGAGGUGGGGGACAACAGUUGGAAACGACUGCUAAUACCGCAUAAUGUCUACGGACCAAAGGGGGCUUCGGCUCUCGCCUUUAGAUUGGCCCAAGUGGGAUUAGCUAGUUGGUGAGGUAAUGGCUCACCAAGGCGACGAUCCCUAGCUGGUUUGAGAGGAUGAUCAGCCACACUGGGACUGAGACACGGCCCAGACUCCUACGGGAGGCAGCAGUGGGGAAUAUUGCACAAUGGGCGCAAGCCUGAUGCAGCCAUGCCGCGUGUGUGAAGAAGGCCUUCGGGUUGUAAAGCACUUUCAGUCAGGAGGAAAGGUUAGUAGUUAAUACCUGCUAGCUGUGACGUUACUGACAGAAGAAGCACCGGCUAACUCCGUGCCAGCAGCCGCGGUAAUACGGAGGGUGCGAGCGUUAAUCGGAAUUACUGGGCGUAAAGCGUACGCAGGCGGUUUGUUAAGCGAGAUGUGAAAGCCCCGCGCUCAACCUGGGAACUGCAUUUCGAUCUGGCAAACUAGAGUGUGAUAGAGGGUGGUAGAAUUUCAGGUGUAGCGGUGAAAUGCGUAGAGAUCUGAAAGAAUACCGAUGGCGAACGCAGCCACCUGGGUCAACACUGACGCUCAUGUACGAAAGCGUGGGGAGCAAACAAGAUUAUAUACCCUGGUACACA
Molecule: ribosomal RNA, 764 nt
Filed under: Pseudoalteromonas espejiana
Lineage: Bacteria; Pseudomonadati; Pseudomonadota; Gammaproteobacteria; Alteromonadales; Pseudoalteromonadaceae
Description: bacterial SSU rRNA
Rfam family: Bacterial small subunit ribosomal RNA
Source: RNAcentral